AUUGAACGCUGGCGGCAUGCCUUACACAUGCAAGUCGAACGGUAGCGGGCCUUCGGGUGCCGACGAGUGGCGAACGGGUGAGUAAUGUAUCGGAACGUACCUUUCAGUGGGGGAUAACGUAGCGAAAGUUGCGCUAAUACCGCAUAUUCUGUGAGCAGGAAAGCAGGGGAUCGCAAGACCUUGCGCUGAUUGAGCCGCCGAUAGCAGAUUAGGUAGUUGGUGAGGUAAAGGCUCACCAAGGCGACGAUCUGUAGCGGGUCUGAGAGGAUGAUCCGCCACACUGGAACUGAGACACGGUCCAGACUCCUACGGGAGGCAGCAGUGGGGAAUUUUGGACAAUGGGGGCAACCCUGAUCCAGCCAUGCCGCGUGAGUGAAGAAGGCCUUCGGGUUGUAAAGCUCUUUCGGCCGGGAAGAAAUCGUAUCAGCUAAUACCUGGUGCGGAUGACGGUACCGGCAUAAGAAGCACCGGCUAACUACGUGCCAGCAGCCGCAGUAA
Molecule: ribosomal RNA, 498 nt
Filed under: uncultured bacterium
Lineage: Bacteria
Description: partial 16S ribosomal RNA
Rfam family: Bacterial small subunit ribosomal RNA
Source: RNAcentral